CCUACGGGAGACAGCAGUGGGGAAUAUUGCACAAUGAGGGAAACCUUGAUGCAGCGACACCGCGUGAGUGAUGAAGUAUUUCGGUAUGUAAAGCUCUAUCAUCAGGGAAGAAAAUUACGGUACCUGACUAAUUAGCCCCUGCUAACGACUUGCCAGCAGCCGCUGUCAUACUUUGGGGGCAAGCAUUCGCCGGUUUUUCUGUGUGUAACGGUAGCGUAGAUGGUCAGACAAGUCAGAAGUGAAAGCCCAGGGCUCAACCCUGGGACUGCUUUUGAAACUGCCGGGCUAGAGUGCAGUAGAGGUAAGCGGAAUUCCUAGUGUAGCGGUGAAAUGCGUAGAUAUUAGGAGGAACACCAGUGGCGAAGGCGGCUUACUGGACUGUAACUGACGUUGAGGCUCGAAAGCGUGGGGAGCAAACAGGAUUAGAUACCCCAGUAGUC
Molecule: ribosomal RNA, 440 nt
Filed under: uncultured bacterium
Lineage: Bacteria
Description: partial 16S ribosomal RNA
Rfam family: Bacterial small subunit ribosomal RNA
Source: RNAcentral